GCUCUCGUAGCUCAACCGGAAGAGCGCGCGGCUUCUACCCGCAGGGUUCGGGGUUCGAGUCCUCGCGAGAGCACCA
This 76-nucleotide transfer RNA is filed under the name Xanthobacteraceae bacterium. Its description in RNAcentral is "tRNA-Arg". It matches the Rfam family "tRNA". From Rfam's summary of the family: Transfer RNA (tRNA) molecules are approximately 80 nucleotides in length. Their secondary structure includes four short double-helical elements and three loops (D, anti-codon, and T loops). Lineage: Bacteria; Pseudomonadati; Pseudomonadota; Alphaproteobacteria; Hyphomicrobiales; Xanthobacteraceae. The record is from RNAcentral.